This 791-nucleotide ribosomal RNA is filed under the name uncultured bacterium. RNAcentral describes it as "bacterial SSU rRNA". It matches the Rfam family "Bacterial small subunit ribosomal RNA", at positions 8 to 796 of the family's 1533-position model. The record is from RNAcentral.
AGAGUUUGAUCCUGGCUCAGAUUGAACGCUGGCGGCAUGCUUUACACAUGCAAGUCGAACGGCAGCGCGGGGCAACCUGGCGGCGAGUGGCGAACGGGUGAGUAAUAUAUCGGAACGUACCCAAGAGUGGGGGAUAACGUAGCGAAAGUUACGCUAAUACCGCAUACGAUCUAAGGAUGAAAGCAGGGGAUCUUCGGACCUUGUGCUCCUGGAGCGGCCGAUAUCUGAUUAGCUAGUUGGUGAGGUAAAGGCUCACCAAGGCCACGAUCAGUAGCUGGUCUGAGAGGACGACCAGCCACACUGGAACUGAGACACGGUCCAGACUCCUACGGGAGGCAGCAGUGGGGAAUUUUGCGCAAUGGACGAAAGUCUGACGCAGCAACGCCGCGUGGGUGAUGAAGGUCUUCGGAUUGUAAAACCCUGUCGUCGGGGACGAAGGUAGGGGGGUUAAUACCCCUUUUGCUUGACGGUACCCGGAGAGGAAGCCCCGGCUAACUCUGUGCCAGCAGCCGCGGUAAUACAGAGGGGGCAAGCGUUAUUCGGAAUUAUUGGGCGUAAAGGGCGCGUAGGCGGUGAUUCAAGUUGGAUGUGUAAUCCCCGAGCUCAACUUGGGAACUGCAUCCAAGACUGGAUCGCUAGAGUACUGGAGAGGGUGGUGGAAUUCCUCGUGUAGCGGUGAAAUGCGUAGAGAUGAGGAGGAACACCAGUGGCGAAGGCGGCCACCUGGACAGUAACUGACGCUGAGGCGCGAAAGUGUGGGGAGCAAACAGGAUUAGAUACCCUGGUAGUCC